UGUGCAGAGAGACAGGAGUGCUUGGCUCUGCGUUUUAGAUGGAGAGGAGUAACUGGAUCUGCCAGGACUUGAGUGGGGGUGGCUUACUGGAAUGUUGGAAGCAGAAGUGUAAUGCAGUGGGGAG
Long non-coding RNA from Grammomys surdaster, 124 nucleotides. RefSeq lists it as uncharacterized. The transcript is spliced from 3 exons. Lineage: Eukaryota; Metazoa; Chordata; Mammalia; Rodentia; Muridae. The record is from RefSeq and is a predicted model, not a curated record.